Long non-coding RNA from Neofelis nebulosa (Clouded leopard), 2043 nucleotides. RefSeq lists it as uncharacterized. The transcript has 2 exons. Lineage: Eukaryota; Metazoa; Chordata; Mammalia; Carnivora; Felidae. The record is from RefSeq and is a predicted model, not a curated record.
CCCCGCCCCGGGUGAGUCGAAGGCGCUACGCCCGGUGCCCCCGGUUGCUGCGCGCGCGGACCCGGAAGACAUUUGCAGCCACUUCCGGGGAGAGUCGGAAGUCGUUACGGAAGCGGCAGAGAGUGGGCAGGGCCGGGAGGAGGGUGCGGUCUCCGCGCCCGCGGUCGGAGUGGCCCCCAGCAGCGCAGCCGCUGGCAACAUUUGGCUGGUGAUUCUGUGUCUUUGCUGCCAGCCAGAACUUCGUUCCCAAUUAAGGAGACGGGCCCCGCGGGGAAGGGGACUUGCCCGGGGUCGCACAGAGGGAAGGGUGCCGCUUGAAGCCACGCCUGGAACGGUCGGCGGGACGUAGGCCACAUGGCCGCGCCUCCGCAGCCACAGUGCGCGCACCGGAGCUGCCUGCCGUUCGGAGGCCGGUGGGCAGCUUCUCGCACGUCGACCUCGCCCUGGCGGCGGAGGGCGGCCCGGCUCCUGGAGCCGCAAGCGUCCGUUCUGUUCGCGGACGGCCCGCCGGGACCGGUGGGUCCCCCGGGCCCGCCUGGGCUCGCCCGCUCCAGUCACUGCCUCUGCGGCCCCGGCACCGAAUGCAGGAGUUGCUCUGGGGUUUUGAGCUUGGGAUCGCAGGGGAUCUGUCGGUUGGUGGAAACUUAAACCGGAUAUAGAGGCCGUCACGCAGGUUGUUGAGAGAGACACAGAAUAACGCUGCCUGAAAAAGUGAGUAGAGAUGGGCAUAGGGGCCUGAGGGCUGCAGGUCCUGGGUCCAGCAGUUCCUGAAGCCUUGCCUCAUUGCUCCUUCUGCCUAAUGCACUUCAGCUCAUAAGGCAGAAUGUUUUUCUUUCAAGUGAUACAAACCAAAAACCAGUGUAAGAGAAAAGAAGGAAGUUUUAUGGCAUGUUGGAUGGCUUCAGGCACGGCUAGAUCCAGGAGUCUGGCACUAUCAUUACGGAUCUCUCUUUCUCCAUGUCUCAGCUCUUCUGAGAGCUGUCCCUGCUCUUUGGUGAGCUCUCUCUGAGCAGUGGCGUGUGGAAACUCUGGGUUAACGUUCCAGCAGCCCUUGAAGGAAGACAGGUCUUCUUCCCCAGUCAUUGCAGGAAACGUUCUGAGGCCUGUUGUCUUUGGCCUGCUGUGGAAAUGGAGCCGAGGCAGACACUCCUCAGAGGAUGUGAGCGGAAGCUGGGGCGGGGAGGACCCCCAAAAGGGAAUAGCCAGGAUUCUGAGAGCCCAAGAGGUGGUAGAUAAGCAAAAAGUCCUCUCCUUUCUCACAUCCUGCUGGUCCUCUGCCGGGGCCUCCAGGACUCCCUGUGGUAGUUCUGUCUGGCCCUUGGGGGAAACGGGACUCCUUUUCUCGUUUUUAUUGCUGUGGCAUUCAUACAGUUAACCGUUUUAUUUUUAUUAUUAUUAUUAUUAUUAUUAUUAUUAUUUUUUAAUGUUUAUUUUUGAGAGAGACAGAGACAGAAUGCGAGUGGGUCAGGGGCAGAGAGAGGGAGACAGGGAAUCUGAAACAGGCUCCGGGCUCUGAGCUGUCAGCACAGAGCCCGACACGGGGCUCGAACCCACGAACCAUGAGAUCAUGACCUGAGCCUAAGUCGGAGGCUCAACCGACUGAGCCACCCAGGCGCCCCACAUACAGUUAACCAUUUUAAACUGAAUUAUUUUGGUGGCAUUGAGUGCGUUGACAAAGUUGGGCAACCACUCCCUCUGUCUAGUUGCAGACAGAUUUCAUCGCGUCCAGAAGAAGCUCCGUUCCGUCCCCAUCAGCUGCCACCCCCGCCCCCCCCAGCCCCCGGCCGCCACGAGCCCCCUUCCUGUCCGUGGAUGAGCACGUUGUGGAUAUUUCACAUAAACUGAGUUUCACCCCGUGUGGUGUCUCGUGUCUGGUUCCCUCCCUGAGUGUCGUGUGUUCGGGGCUCUGUCCGCGGGGCAGCGGGGGUGGGUGCCUCACUCCUGCUGUGGCCGAGGGACGUGUCCUCAUGUGUGUGGUGGACGCGUGUAUCUGUUUCCCCGUUGAUGGAUUUUUUUUUUCAUUUAAAAAUCUUUACCGCUUAA